CUUUCUGCUCUAGCAUUACAGUACUGAGUUUGUUGCCUCACAACUGCUGUACUUUCUCUCCCGCAGCACUCGGAGAUGCUUUCUGCACCAUGCCACUGCUGCAGCUGCCAGUGGUAGGGGGAAAUGUGUGGCGACGGCGAUUCAAGACUUUUUCUACCUCUUCAGUGCUUGUUUCAGUGAAGUUAACACCAGUUUCUUGAAAACUACAAUGGUACUUUGAGAGCUGAGUGGGUAUCUCUGGAAGGGCCUAUGAGAGAAACAAUUAGAAAGUCUUCUAAGUGACUUGUCUGGGGAUCAGCAGAGGGACCUGCUUGGGGACUAGAAAGUGGACUUCCUAUGGGAAACAUAGGGGUCCAUGCUGUGAGUCCUGCAAGAGGGCAUGCUGAGAGACAUGCUAGGGAAUACAUGUGAAGUCAUACAAGGAGACUUAUUGUGAGGCCUGGAGGGAGACAUGCUCUGAGUCCUAUAAAGAGGGCAUGCUGAGAGACAUGCAAGAGGAUAUGCCAUGAGUCCUACAAGAGGACUUGCUGUGAGUCCUGAAAAAGGCCAUUCUGUGAGUCGUUCAAAGAAACCUGUGGUAAAUCCUGCAAGAUGACAUGCUAAGAGACUUGUUAUGGUGUUUGCUGUGAGUCCUACAAAGAAAUGUGCUGAGCGUCCUACCAGAGAAUAUGCUGAGACAAGCAAAGCAAUGAAUUGUGAGAUCUUCAAAGAGACGUCCUGUGAGUUCUGCACAGAUAUUUGUUCUGGGAUGGGCAAGAACUACUGUGAGUCCCACAAGGAGACCUCUUAUGAUGCCUGAAAGGGAACUUGUUCUGGGAGUUGCAAUGGGACUUACCAUAAAACCAACAGAAGCAUAUGCUGGGGAAACUUCAAGAUCUGCAAAACAGUUAACUCAUAAGUACAACUAACAACACUGAAAAUAGAUACAACAACCAGUAAGAUUCUGAAAAGUGGAGAGAGGAACGAAGAUCAGUUAGGAACCUCAAGACCCGAGGAACAACACAGUGGUGAGCACCCUGAAUUUUCUUAUGCUUUUUAUAUCCUGAACUAGUUGCUGGAGGAACCAACAACUUGGAAAUGCCAGCAGGUGCAGACAUCAAAAGGAUAAGAAGGGAAUACUAUGAACAACUCAACACAAAUAAAUUUGACAACUUAAAUAAAGUUGACUGAUUGGCUGAAAAAGUACGAAAUACCACAGAUUAUUCAAAAUAAAACAGAUACUUGAAAUAGUCCUAUGUCUAUUAAGAAAUUUAAUUUGUAACUUGAAAACCUCACAAAAAUUAUCUUUAGUCUGAAAUAAUUUCACUGACAAAUUCUAUCAGAAAAUUGUAGCUGGACCCCUUCUUUACACCAUAUACAAAAAUCAAUUCAAGAUGGACUAAAAACUUAAAUGUAAAAUCCCAAACUAUGAAAAACCCUGAAAAACAACAUAGGCAAUACCAUUCAGUACAUAGGCACAGGAAAAGAUUUCGUGACAGAGACACCAAAAACAAUUGUAACAAAAGCAAAAAUUGACAGAUGGAUUCUAAUUAAACUAAAGCUUCUGCACAGCAAAAGCAACUAUUAGCUGAGUAAAUAGACAACCUAUGGAAUGGGAGAAAACCUUAGCAAACUAUGCAUUCAACAAAGGUCUAAUAUCCAGCAUCUAUAAGGAGCUUAAACAAAUUAAAAAAAAAAAAAAAAACCAUGUUAAAAAGUGGACAAAGGACACGAACAGACACUUUUCAAAAGAAGACAUACAUGUGGCCAACAAGCAUAUGAAAAAAUGCUCAACAUCACUGAUUAUUAGAGAAAGGCAAAUGAAAACCAUGGUGAGAUAUUAUCUCACACCAGUCUGAAUGGCUAGUAUUAAAAAGUGAAAAAAAAUAACUGAUGCUUGUGAAAUUGUGGAGAAAAGGAAUGCUUAUACUCUGUUGUUGAGUGUGUAAAUUAGUUCAGCCAUUGAGGAAGACACUGUGGCGAUUCAUCAAAGACCUAAAGACAGAAAUACCACUAGACCUACAAAUCUCAUUACUAGGCAUGUACCCAAAGGCAUAUAAAUCAUUUUAUCAUGCAGUAGUAUGUUCACUGAAGCACUAGUCACUAUAGCAAAGACAUGGCAUCAACCUAAAUGUCCACCAGUGAUAGACUGGAUAAUGAAAAUGUGGUACAUAUACACCAUGGAAUACUAUACAGCCAUAAAAAACAAGAUCAUGUGCUUUGGAGCAACAUGGAGGGACCUGGAGGCCAUUAUCCUUAGCAAACUAAUGCAGGAAUAGAAAACCAAAUACUGCAUGUUCUCUCUUAUAAGUGGGAGCUAAGUGAUGAGAACACCUUGGCAUAUAGAGGAGAACUACAGACACUGGGGCCUUUUGGAGGGUGGAAGGUGGCAGAAAGGAGAAGAUCAGGAAAAAUUACUAAUGGGUACUAGGCUUAAUAGCUGGGUGAUGAAAUAAUAUGUACAACAAAACACCAUGAGACAAGUUUACCAUGUGACAAACCUGCACUUGUAUCCCUGAACUUUCAAAAAAAUACAUUACUGGAGUAAAUUUUCUUCUGUA
RNAcentral lists this long non-coding RNA (2540 nucleotides) under Homo sapiens (human). RNAcentral's name for it is "HSALNT0284151". The record is from RNAcentral. Lineage: Eukaryota; Metazoa; Chordata; Mammalia; Primates; Hominidae.